RNAcentral lists this long non-coding RNA (810 nucleotides) under Helianthus annuus (common sunflower). RNAcentral describes it as "hypothetical non coding rna". Lineage: Eukaryota; Viridiplantae; Streptophyta; Magnoliopsida; Asterales; Asteraceae. The record is from RNAcentral.
GUUUUAUACAAAUGGGCAUUUGAAUAAGUUGUUUUGUUGUUACUGUUUUUAGUUCUUGAAGGAACAACAAUCACCCAAUCAUCGGACUUUCAAUCUCGUUGCCGGAGUUUCAGUUUUCCUGUUGCCGACGUUUCAUAAAACGGUAGCAAGUUGUCCGAUCUUGAAGGAAUCAGAACCUCCGGCCAACCAAUCGACGAUCACAUAAUCGAUGGUGUCCUCCCACUUUCCACCGCCUCAUACUAGAAAUUGAAAAAGGCAUGUCAAAAGUCAUUGUUUUUUUUUAAUACCGAUAAAAAAAAUUUAUUGUUUAGAGGGGAGAUCCACCCUACGCCCAGCUGACGUGCUAGUUUUUGGUUGGGAGGGCGGGAAACAUACUUGUGUCGAUCUCACAGGUGUAUCCCCACUAGCCGGGUUCCAGAAAAAUGGGUUUGUGGCGGGGCAAGCGGUACUGAAAGCAGAGUCAAAGAAGGUGGAAAAGCACGUGAAAGCUUGUGAGGAUAAUCAGCAUGCCUUUGUCCCCCUGGCGUUUGACACGUUCGGCUCCUUGGCGCCGGAAGCAGUUCGGUUCUUGUCUAGAGUUCAGUGUGUGGUCCAUAGCAACUUUUCGACCCCUCAGGGGCUGGGCUUUGUUUUUAGUAGAUUAGGGUUUUCUAUUCAGAAAUGGAUAGGCUGGACUUUGUUUUUAGUAGAUUAGGGUUUUCUAUUCAGAAAUAGAUGACGGCGCAGUUUGUUGCACGUCUACCUGCUAUCCUUAUUUCAUUGUUUGAAACAUUGCAAAAGAUCAGGGAAAGUAUAUAUAUUUUUUCACUU